This 253-nucleotide ribosomal RNA is filed under the name uncultured bacterium. RNAcentral's name for it is "partial 16S ribosomal RNA". It matches the Rfam family "Bacterial small subunit ribosomal RNA", at positions 524 to 776 of the family's 1533-position model. The record is from RNAcentral.
UACGGGGGGGGCAAGCGUUGUUCGGAAUUACUGGGCGUAAAGGGCGCGUAGGCGGCCUGCUAAGUCGGAUGUGAAAUCCCUCGGCUCAACCGAGGAACUGCAUCCGAUACUGGCGGGCUUGAAUCCGGGAGAGGGAUGUGGAAUUCCAGGUGUAGCGGUGAAAUGCGUAGAUAUGCGGAGGAACACCGAUGGCGAAGGCAAUCCCCUGGGCCUGCACUGACGCUCAUGCACGAAAGCGUGGGGAGCAAACAGG